Molecule: RNA transcript, 1741 nt
Organism: Pseudopipra pipra
Lineage: Eukaryota; Metazoa; Chordata; Aves; Passeriformes; Pipridae
Exons: 8
Source: RefSeq, a predicted model, not a curated record
AGGGCCCUUUAUGACCCGCGGUGACAGAGGUGCUGCUGGUGACACGGCCACAGUGUCAACAGUGCUCCUCGGAGCAGGCGAUGGGACAGGACGGGACAGAGCGGUGCUGUGCGGAGCCCCCGCGCAGCCAACUCGUGCCUUGCUGACCCGGAGCAUUUUGGAGGAUUUUCUCAUUUCCAGGUGACCUCGAGGCAUUUCCACAGGAUUUGGAGACCCAAGAGUUUCUCCGAGGUGUCUCUAAUCCCUGUGGCAGGUGCCCUUGAGACCCUUUUGCAGGACUUGGAGACCCGGAGCUUCUCCGAGGUGUCUCCAAUCCCUGCGGCAGGUGGCCUCAAGGCCAUUCUGCAGGACUUAGGGCCCGGAGUUUCUCCGAGGUUCUCUUUCUCUCUUGCAGGUGCCCUGGACACCAGACUGUGGCAUGGCAGGGAGACGCUUCAGCCUGCUCAGGCUGUUCCGGAGGAAGAAGGAGGAGGAAAGCCCUGGGGCUGCUCCAGCACAGCAGCCUGAAGAGGUGCAGCAGGUGCAGCCCCCGCAGGAGGAUGCAGGCCAGGAGCGGACAGAAGAGCAGCUCCGUGCCCGUGGCCGCUUCCGCAGGGCAGCACAGACAUUUAUGAAAUUCAUGGGCAGUCGGCGUAGAAAGGCCAGGAUCACACCAGCUGAUGUCCAGGCCCAGCCUGACACCAUCCCGACCCAGGUGACAAAGCCUGAUGUCAGCACCGCGUCGACUGCUGUCCCAGCAAAGUGUGACACCGCAACCAGUGAUCACACAACCCACUGGGACACCACGUCCACCGAUGAUGUGUCACACUGUGACUCUGUGCUGCCUGGUCUCACGGAGGAGGCCGACACCACAACGACGGAGGGCGUGGCGAGCACUGACGCCGCGCCUGUUCAGCGCCUGGCCGAUACCCCCAGCCUGGAGUUUCUUGAGGAGAGAGCUGUCUCUGCUGAAGUAGCCAUAAUGCCAGAUGGAGACAUGCAGCAGAGACCCCCCACGGUGCCCAAGCUGGCCUGGGUGAAGGAGGAGGAGAAGGAGGAAAGCCCUAGGGCUGGUCCAACACAGCAGCCUGAAGAGGUGCAGCAGGUGCAGCCCCCGCAGGAGGAUGCAGGCCAGGAGCGGACAGAAGAGCAGCUCCGUGCCCGUGGCCGCUUCCGCAGGGCAGCACAGCUGGUUUGCAGAUUCAUCAGGUGCAUUUGACAUGAAGAGGCCACUUUCAUGGCCACUUGGGACACGGCAAACUCGGACCUCUUCAAUGCCCAGACCAGCGCUGCCCUGCUGGAUUUGCUUGUGGAGAACGGUGUCUACAAAGCAAAGCAAGUGCCGGCCAUAGUCAGGUGCAUCCACCAGUGGCUCACGUCCAAUGUGUCUGCUGAGCACAGGCUGGACAAGACUCUUGUCCUGCUGACCAAGGCACACCCCAUGGAUGUUGCAGUGACCCUGCUGCGCUCUGCCCCAGCCUGUGACAGAGCUGCUCGCACCAUGUGGAAGACACUCAUCUCCUCCAGAUGGACUAAGGAGCCGGUGCUGCAGAUCCUCUUCCGUGUGCUGGAAUACUGGCCAGCGCACAGGAGACGCACCUCUGAUGGGGAUGAGAGGGAUGUCUUUGCCCUGGCUGUGAGUUUCUUGAGCUGGCCUCUGCUCGCCCCCAGGUUGCCUCUGGGACGCCUUUCCAUCCUCCCUCACCACUGCUUCUCCCUGCCCCAGGCACUGGGCUGCAAGCCUGCCUUAGGGGCAGGUUCA